This 465-nucleotide ribosomal RNA is filed under the name uncultured bacterium. Its description in RNAcentral is "bacterial SSU rRNA". It matches the Rfam family "Bacterial small subunit ribosomal RNA", at positions 338 to 795 of the family's 1533-position model. The record is from RNAcentral.
CCUACGGGUGGCACCAGUGGGGAAUAUUGCACAAUGAGCGCAAGCCUGAUGCAGCCAUGCCGCGUGUAUGAAGAAGGCCUUCGGGUUGUAAAGUACUUUCAGCGGGGAGGAAGGUGUUGUGGUUGAUAACCGCAGCAAUUGACGUUACCCGCAGAAGAAGCACCGGCUAACUCCGUGCCAGCAGCCGCGGUAAUACGGAGGGUGCAAGCGUUAAUCGGAAUUACUGGGCGUAAAGCGCACGCAGGCGGUCUGUCAAGUCGGAUGUGAAAUCCCCGGGCUCAACCUGGGAACUGCAUUCGAAACUGGCAGGCUAGAGUCUUGUAGAGGGGGGUAGAAUUCCAGGUGUAGCGGUGAAAUGCGUAGAGAUCUGGAGGAAUACCGGUGGCGAAGGCAGCCCCCUGGACAAAGACUGACGCUCAGGUGCGAAAGCGUGGGGAGCAAACAGGAUUAGAUACCCGCGUAGUC